RNAcentral lists this ribosomal RNA (479 nucleotides) under uncultured organism. RNAcentral's name for it is "partial 16S ribosomal RNA". It matches the Rfam family "Bacterial small subunit ribosomal RNA", at positions 329 to 799 of the family's 1533-position model. The record is from RNAcentral.
ACGUACACUCCUACGGGAGGCAGCAGUGGGGAAUAUUGCACAAUGGGCGCAAGCCUGAUGCAGCCAUGCCGCGUGUAUGAAGAAGGCCUUCGGGUUGUAAAGUACUUUCAGCGGGGAGGAAGGCGAUAAGGUUAAUAACCUUGUCGAUUGACGUUACCCGCAGAAGAAGCACCGGCUAACUCCGUGCCAGCAGCCGCGGUAAUACGGAGGGUGCAAGCGUUAAUCGGAAUUACUGGGCGUAAAGCGCACGCAGGCGGUCUGUCAAGUCGGAUGUGAAAUCCCCGGGCUCAACCUGGGAACUGCAUUCGAAACUGGCAGGCUAGAGUCUUGUAGAGGGGGGUAGAAUUCCAGGUGUAGCGGUGAAAUGCGUAGAGAUCUGGAGGAAUACCGGUGGCGAAGGCGGCCCCCUGGACAAAGACUGACGCUCAGGUGCGAAAGCGUGGGGAGCAAACAGGAUUAGAAACCCGUGUAGUCCCAUG